CAUAUCAAAACAUAAUCAAAAUGGCAUUCAUAUUGACUUGCAAAACUGAAACUGAAAACUGAAUAAACAUAUUAUACAUUGAUGGAAAAUGUUUGGUAACCGCCUCUAUUACAUCUCCAUGGAGGAAAAUAACUGGGAAGAUGCCAACCAGGACUGUCUGAAGAGAGGGGCACAGCUAGUCAUCAUAAACAAGAGGAAAAGAAAUUCCUCAUCACAUUAAACAUAUGUUCUUGGAUCGGUCUGACUGACCGUGAGACUGAGGGGACAUGGAGAUGGGUGGACGGCACACCUCUGACUACAGCGUAGAGGGAAUGAAGGAGUAGUCAAAGGACAUGGAUGGUGAGAGGACCUCUUGUGAUGUUCAUCAACAUGUGCAGUAGU
Esox lucius (northern pike) is the source of this 381-nucleotide long non-coding RNA. The record is from Ensembl. Lineage: Eukaryota; Metazoa; Chordata; Actinopteri; Esociformes; Esocidae.